This is a non-coding RNA of Capsicum annuum, 161 nucleotides long. Lineage: Eukaryota; Viridiplantae; Streptophyta; Magnoliopsida; Solanales; Solanaceae. The record is from Rfam.
AUACUUACCUCUACGGGGUGAAUGGGUGAUAAACAAGGUCCGUGGCCUAGGUUGGUGACCUGCAUUUCACUUUAGAGGGGUGCCUGCCUAAGGUCGUCCCAAGUGGCCAAGCCUACAUCAUAAUUUAUGGCAGUGCGGACUUGCAUUCCCGCUGCCCCUAC